AGCGAACGCUGGCGGCAGGCCUAACACAUGCAAGUCGAACGAACUCUUCGGAGUUAGUGGCGGACGGGUGAGUAACACGUGGGAACGUGCCUUUUGGUUCGGAAUAACUCAGGGAAACUUGUGCUAAUACCGAAUGUGCCCUUCGGGGGAAAGAUUUAUCGCCAUUAGAGCGGCCCGCGUCUGAUUAGCUAGUUGGUGAGGUAACGGCUCACCAAGGCGACGAUCAGUAGCUGGUCUGAGAGGAUGACCAGCCACACUGGGACUGAGACACGGCCCAGACUCCUACGGGAGGCAGCAGUGGGGAAUCUUGCGCAAUGGGCGAAAGCCUGACGCAGCCAUGCCGCGUGAAUAAUGAAGGUCUUAGGAUUGUAAAAUUCUUUCACCGGGGACGAUAAUGACGGUACCCGGAGAAGAAGCCCCGGCUAACUUCGUG
Molecule: ribosomal RNA, 433 nt
Filed under: uncultured bacterium
Lineage: Bacteria
Description: partial 16S ribosomal RNA
Rfam family: Bacterial small subunit ribosomal RNA
Source: RNAcentral